This 253-nucleotide ribosomal RNA is filed under the name uncultured bacterium. RNAcentral describes it as "partial 16S ribosomal RNA". It matches the Rfam family "Bacterial small subunit ribosomal RNA", at positions 524 to 776 of the family's 1533-position model. The record is from RNAcentral.
UACGGAGGGUGCAAGCGUUAAUCGGAAUUACUGGGCGUAAAGCGUGCGUAGACGGUUAUGUAAGUCGGGUGUGAAAGCCCCGGGCUCAACCUGGGAAUGCCAUUCGAGACUGCAUAGCUAGGGUGCGGAAGAGGGAAGCGGAAUUUCCGGUGUAGCGGUGAAAUGCGUAGAUAUCGGAAGGAACACCAGUGGCGAAAGCGGCUUCCUGGUCCAGCACCGACGUUCAGGCACGAAAGCGUGGGGAGCAAACAGG